Molecule: transfer RNA, 74 nt
Filed under: Maricaulis sp.
Lineage: Bacteria; Pseudomonadati; Pseudomonadota; Alphaproteobacteria; Maricaulales; Maricaulaceae
Description: tRNA-Pro
Rfam family: tRNA
About the family: Transfer RNA (tRNA) molecules are approximately 80 nucleotides in length. Their secondary structure includes four short double-helical elements and three loops (D, anti-codon, and T loops). Further hydrogen bonds mediate the characteristic L-shaped molecular structure. tRNAs have two regions of fundamental functional importance: the anti-codon, which is responsible for specific mRNA codon recognition, and the 3' end, to which the tRNAs corresponding amino acid is attached (by aminoacyl-tRNA synthetases). tRNAs cope with the degeneracy of the genetic code in two manners: having more than one tRNA (with a specific anti-codon) for a particular amino acid; and 'wobble' base-pairing, i.e. permitting non-standard base-pairing at the 3rd anti-codon position.
Source: RNAcentral
CGGGGUGUGGCCUAGUCUGGUAGGGCGUCUGACUGGGGGUCAGAAGAUCGAAGGUUCGAAUCCUUUCACCCCGA